UGGGGGGACCUGAUCCAGCCAUCCCGCGUGUAUGAUGAAGGCCUUCGGGUUGUAAAGUACUUUUGGCAGAGAAGAAAAGGUACCUCCUAAUACGAGGUACUGCUGACGGUAUCUGCAGAAUAAGCACCGGCUAACUACGUGCCAGCAGCCGCGGUAAUACGUAGGGUGCAAGCGUUAAUCGGAAUUACUGGGCGUAAAGCGUGUGUAGGCGGUUCGGAAAGAAAGAUGUGAAAUCCCAGGGCUCAACCUUGGAACUGCAUUUUUAACUGCCGAGCUAGAGUAUGUCAGAGGGGGGUAGAAUUCCACGUGUAGCAGUGAAAUGCGUAGAUAUGUGGAGGAAUACCGAUGGCGAAGGCAGCCCCCUGGGAUAAUACUGACGCUCAGACACGAAAGCGUGGGGAGCAAACAGGAUUAGAUACCCUGGUAGUCCACGCCCUAAACGAUGUCAACUAGCUGUUGGGGCCGUUAGGCCUUAGUAGCGCAGCUAACGCGUGAAGUUGACCGCCUGGGGAGUACGGUCGCAAGAUUAAAACUCAAAGGAAUUGACGGA
Molecule: ribosomal RNA, 550 nt
Filed under: Alcaligenes faecalis subsp. faecalis
Lineage: Bacteria; Pseudomonadati; Pseudomonadota; Betaproteobacteria; Burkholderiales; Alcaligenaceae
Description: bacterial SSU rRNA
Rfam family: Bacterial small subunit ribosomal RNA
Source: RNAcentral